GAGAGGGAGGAUAAGUCUGUGGGUUGGGCUAGUUUGAUGUGAGAGAGUGAGAGAAUCUGUUAAGAGGAGUCAGUUAAACAGUUGGGAUACUCAGUUAGAAGGUAUUAGGAAGGUAUAGGCCGGUAAAGAAACUAAGGUUAAGAAACUGACAAGAAAAAUUAUCUGAAACCAUAAACUUGUUAAUGCUUAUAAAAUAAACUUGUUUAUUUGGUUUAA
Non-coding RNA from Podarcis lilfordi (Lilford's wall lizard), 216 nucleotides. The record is from the annotation of a GenBank genome assembly. Lineage: Eukaryota; Metazoa; Chordata; Lepidosauria; Squamata; Lacertidae.